RNAcentral lists this ribosomal RNA (254 nucleotides) under uncultured bacterium. RNAcentral's name for it is "partial 16S ribosomal RNA". It matches the Rfam family "Bacterial small subunit ribosomal RNA", at positions 524 to 776 of the family's 1533-position model. The record is from RNAcentral.
UACGGAGGGUGCAAGCGUUAUCCGGAAUCACUGGGUUUAAAGGGUGCGUAGGCGGCCAUGUAAGUCAGUUGUGAAAUACCCCGGCUUAACCGGUGGAAGGGCGAUUGAUACUGCGUGGCUUGAAUCAGGUUGAGGCAGGCGGAAUGUGGCAUGUAGCGGUGAAAUGCUUAGAUAUGCCAUAGAACACCGAUUGCGAAGGCAGCUUGCUGGGCUUUGAUUGACGCUGAGGCACGAAAGCGUGGGGAGCAAACAGG